RNAcentral lists this long non-coding RNA (1689 nucleotides) under Struthio camelus australis. Its description in RNAcentral is "lncRNA (ENSSCUG00000010042.1)". The record is from RNAcentral. Lineage: Eukaryota; Metazoa; Chordata; Aves; Struthioniformes; Struthionidae.
UGCUGUUUCUGCAGUUAUUUUUGAGAACUAUUCUGUAUUUCUAGGAGUGUGCUUGAAUCAGAAGAGCUGAAAUAUGGCAUUGGCAGCAUGUAGAUUUUGAUUCACUCCUCUCACUGGCGAAGUCCGCCUCUCCCUAUGCAAUGCUGAAGGAAUAUAUUCGUGCUCAUGAUGUCCCUAUUUAUCACUACAUUUGCAAACAUGACCCAGGAAGUCAGACUCCAUUAUAGCAUCAAUCACCAGUCCAAGGGGAAAUUAACCAAAAAGAGGGUUUUUCUUCCAACAGCGAGCAAGCAAACAACAACAAAAUACCAUCUUGACAAGAUACUAAAAGUUUAUAGUUUCAAAAAGGGACUGGAGAAAUGCACAGAAAUGCAUUCCUUGGAAGCUGUGGUAUUCACCUCCCACUCCAGAAGUUCUUGAACUUGAAACGACUGAAGGUUGGGAAAGCUGGUUUUCUGAAGCUGGGAAAACGUCAUGAUACGUUUACCUUGUUGUUAUAUUCCUCUACAGAAACAGGAUCCCAGCUGAGCGUAACUCCUGUAUUGCCCUCAAAACGAUUACAGGAUUUCAACCAAGGAGCAAAUACAAAUUCUAAGCCCAAUUCUUUGUCAGCUCUCUUCAUCAUCUUGGAUCCACACUGGAGCUAAGCCAUGACAGUUCUUUCCUGUUUUGCCUGCAAACAAGCCCAGUCAGUGAGCUCCAGGGAUUUUACUGGGACUGCUCCCUGCCUGAAAUCUAGUCCUGACUCAAAAGGACGUGGUCCCUCCCUGUUGAAUUCACUGGUGACUCUCACCUGUGCUGGAAGUUACUGCCUACCCUAUGCAACUGCUGCUGCUCCCACUACACAACUCUGUAAUGAGUGAUGUAUAAAAUGAUCCAACUAAAAGAGCAAUUAUAGAGUAAAUGUAAAAAGGGAAUCAAGGUGGGAAAUCAUUAAAUGACCUGCUGCCCAAGGAAUUGUAAUGUGGUAUUGCGGUCAGUGCUAGAUCCCUGAUUACAACAAUAAGGUUGACUUGAUCCCAUAGUAGGCUUAAGCCUUUCUUCUGUCUUCAGUGGUCUUCGCAGUUUCUCUGGUCUAGUAGAUGGAAGAGCAGCUGACCAAGCUCAAGAUUUCUCUCUUUAGUCAUUCCAGGAAUUUUGGGGACUUUUUUCCAUGUCGGUUUCUUUUUUUCCUCCCCUCUUUGAAGGGUGUAGGUAUUUAAAAACAAAACAAAACAAACAAAAAAAAACUUUGCAGGAUAAGGACUCAAUCUAAAGCACAAGAGAACUGUACUUGAAGGGACCCAACUUAGACAGAAAAUAUGAGGUGUGGGUGUCCUAAAUUACCUUUCCAGUAACUGUUUUAUUAUGGACAUAUUGCCUUUUAUUCAUUCAGUCCUUGUAAGUACUCCUGGCCCAUUAUUUUAAAGUAUCCAGGAGGAAAAUAGGUUUUAACUUGAUUUUCCAUACAUUACUGUCUUUCUCCUGCCAUAGCCUUGAAUCAAACACAGCUAACUAGUUUAUAUUGUGAGGCAAUGUUCUGGGAGAGAGCAGGCAGCUGACCAAAACAUUGGCCAAACAGUGUGCUGAGAAGUAUAGCAUCUUUGCCUUGACACCCUGAGCAAUUUCCAGUUCGCUACCUAGACACCUAGAAGUUAGAUGACUCUCUAGUACAGCUGUCUACAAGUUGAAUGUUUAACCGGGCUUUGG